RNAcentral lists this long non-coding RNA (3060 nucleotides) under Xyrichtys novacula (pearly razorfish). The record is from RNAcentral. Lineage: Eukaryota; Metazoa; Chordata; Actinopteri; Labriformes; Labridae.
GGUUCGGGUAGAGGUUCAGGUAUUAAAUGUGUGUUCAGAUAUGAAUCCAGCUGCAUUGGGGGGCUUCAGCUGAAACCAAAGUCCUUCAGUAUAGGGCGCAGUGAUGGCUUUCUAUUGUUUAGAAACUGGCGCAUCAGAGCUCAGCCAAUAACAGCUUUUACAUCAGGGUUUUUUUUGCCCUUAAAUUAAUAAAUUUACUGAUAGUCUUAAACAACAAUUCCCUCCAAAAUAACAAAGUUUACUCUUGUUAUCCUGUAUUAUUUUCAAAUUUAUUAUCAGGUCUGUUGUCCCUCCCUGCAACGCCAUUUUGAUUCCUAUAUGAAAGUCACAGACACUGGAGCAGGGCUUUUCUCCGACUUUUAAGGCAUGUUACCUCUCUUAAUGAACACUCUUUUUAUCAUCAUAAGAAAUUCGCUAUCUUUAUUAACGCCACUGCACAGUGCAUUACAGUGGACAGGCAUGCACUUUGUAAGAGCGGUGUUCCUUACAGGGUGCACUACAAUGGGAUACAGCUUAUUUUGAGACGAUCAUGUGUCCUCUAUUGUGCAAGUGAACAUGAUAAAAUUAUAUAUAUUAUAUCUUUAUGUAUUAAAUAUGAUUUCUUUAUUUUAGCUUUAAAUUAAGUAAAUUAAGGUGAAAUGAUUCGAGGACAUUGUGAGUCCCUCCAUCAUUCCACCUGUGUCCUCAGUGAGCUGAGGAUGAUUGUUUUGGUGUUUUUUCUUUGCCCCCCCUCUAUUUGCUGAGUGAGUGAGUGUGCAUGUGUCUGAGUGUGUGUAGGUGAGUUAGUGGGUUAGUAAGCACGGACGGAUUGAAUGAGUGAAAACGAGGAAGGAGUGAGGGAGGAGGAGAGUGAGUGAGUGAGGGAGUGAGUGAGUGAGAGCCAGGCUGAGGAAGGAGGGGGGGAGAUGAAGGGAUGAGUUGUACUAUGAAGCGCACGUGCUCAGGAGAGGGAGGGGGAGUAAAUAGAUGACCGGGUGAGGGAGUGAAUAAAAUCGGUGACGCGAUUAAAUGAUCGAUGAAAGGGUAAGGGAAUAUUUUUGACGGUGCAGAGUUUUAGUCAAAAUCUUAAGAAAAAUAAGUAAAGGCUCAUAUUUAAGUUGCUUGGUGAUAAUAUGAUCAAAAGCCUAUUGUUUGUUGGAUAGCACGUGUUCUCGGCUAGAAGUGGUCUUUUUGUUUGAUUUUUUCCUGCUAUAUAAUUUGAAUAACAGAUCACAUGAAUAGGGUUGCAGGCCCGUUGUUUUUGUCACCGAUUGUUCGGAGUGCUGUUAUUGUCUUUGGCCGCGUGCGCCCCGUUUAGGAGGCGGUGGUGAAAAGCAGCAGCCUAACACAGACUCUGUGGUUAGAGACCACUCCCUUAAUCCACCGACAGAGGGACGUCCUCCUCACUGGUUCUGCUCACCUCAACUAUUUAUUGUCAGUAUAAUGGGCUGUAACCUGAUGACAAAGACAUUUUAUUACCUCUCUGAUAAUAAGACAUAACUCUAGUGGUUGCCCCUGCAGAAGUUAUAGCCCACACCAAGAGGUUUAUUGCUCCAUGAUUGGUGUCAGAAGAUUAGUUGAUUAAUCUGAUUGGUUGGCUGACAGGGAAUAAAUUGGGUUAUUCAUUAAUCUUUUAAGCCAUUUUCAAGCACAAAUAAAAGAGUCCUGCACUUCAAAUAUUAUUCUAGUAUUCUACUUUGUUCCACACAUUACAGUGAUUUGUUCCCAUCACUGGCCUUUUCGAUUCCAACCCAACAUUUACAACAGGGAAUAAGUGAAAAGAAUUUAAACUUCAAAUUAAUUUUAUCACUAAAGAAUGUCCUAGUGGAUUGAUAGUUUGGCUGUACAACACAUAUAGCUCCCUAGCUGUCUUCUUCUCCAUGGCCUCUUUGCAAAAGUCACUAGUGGACCGACACUUUACUUGAUGUUAAACCUGACUCUGCUGUAUUUAACAGAAGGCAGAAAUGGGUUAAGCGGGUAACACAUUACGCAUGAAUUCAGCAGACAGCCACACCAUGCAGUCAGAAGUAUUUUAGUGUCUAGUCUCUAUAUUUAUCUGAUGCCAGUUUGUAAUUUUAGCCGCCUGAAACCCUCCCAAGUCUCUCCUGUCUCUGACCUAAAGUAUUCUGGGUACCAUCACCCACCAUGAUACUUAAUCAAGGCUGUGGAUUGGCCGGCAAAUGGUCCAAAACUAUUCAGCACAUGACCACUGUUCUUAGUUUCCUCUUGAGUUGCUUUGUAAAUUCUGAUAACAGCUGAUUGAGUCAGGUUUAUUUACUCGGGUAAAAGAAGAAGAUCUGACAGGUUUUAGUCAAGAUAAUUUCAUUAUCUUCAGCUUUGUACUUAUAAAGCAUGAUGUAGAUCAGGGGUAGGCAAUCAUGUGCCAUGGAGGGCCGAGAGGCUGCGGGUUUUCUUUCCAACCCAAAACUCCACCAGGUGAUUUCACUGAUUACCUUACCUCCAAGCAGAGAGCAGGGACUAAUCAGUGAAAUCACCUGGUGGAGUUUUGGGUUGGAAAGAGAACCUGCAGCCUCUCGGCCCUCCAUGGCACAUGAUUGACCACCCCUGAUGUAGAUGAAUGAAUGUAUCCACACAUUUUAUGAGCAGUUUCAGUUAAAAUGUUCGUUUUACACAUUACAAACAUCACCUGAAACCCUUUAACUCUGCAAUUACCCGUACAUUUGGUUACAACUCUUUUAAAAUAAGUUUGUUUGAGUUGGCUAAAGAUUUGCUGAACCCACUUGGCCCAUUACUAUGUGCACUUUUUCUGCUCGUGUACAAUUAUAGAUUCGAACAUUACUACCAAAUGAUGCAGUUUUGGAGCAAAAACAAAACCACAUUCACCCGCAUACGCAAAAAUAAACCCUAUGUAAGUGUUUUAUUGUCAGUUUUAAAUUGCAGCUAUUGUCAGUUUUUUCAGCAUUUCUUUUGUGCUGGAGGUUCAGACUUAAGUGCUCUUUUAACAGCAGAGGAAAUAUGAGGAGUUUUGGCCAAAAUGUGUUAUUUCUAGGGAUUUUUUUUAUGCAAUGGAUUGUGAAAUAAUGUUAUUUAAACUAACAAGGUUAAAAAAAAACCUUAAGU